GGGAAACUGGGUCUAAUACCGGAUAUGACUCCUCAUCGCAUGGUGGGGGGUGGAAAGCUUUUGCGGUUUUGGAUGGACUCGCGGCCUAUCAGCUUGUUGGUGAGGUAAUGGCUCACCAAGGMGACGACGGGUAGCCGGCCUGAGAGGGUGACCGGCCACACUGGGUCUGAGACACGGCCCAGACUCCUACGGGAGGCAGCAGUGGGGAAUAUUGCACAAUGGGCGAAAGCCUGAUGCAGCGACGCCGCGUGAGGGAUGACAGGCCUUCGGGUUGUAAACCUCUUUCAGUAGGGAAGAAGCGAAAGUGACGGUACCUGCAGAAGAAGCGCCGGCUAACUACGUGCCAGCAGCCGCGGUAAUACGUAGGGCGCAAGCGUUAUCCGGAAUUAUUGGGCGUAAAGAGCUCGUAGGCGGUUUGUCGCGUCUGCCGUGAAAGUCCGGGGCUCAACCCCGGAUCUGCGGUGGGUACGGGCAGACUAGAGUGAUGUAGGGGAGACUGGAAUUCCUGGUGUAGCGGUGAAAUGCGCAGAUAUCAGGAGGAACACCGAUGGCGAAGGCAGGUCUCUGGGCAUUAACUGACGCUGAGGAGCGAAAGCAUGGGGAGCGAACAGGAUUAGAUACCCUGGUAGUCCAUGCCGUAAACGUUGGGCACUAGGUGUGGGGGACAUUCCACGUUUUCCGCGCCGUAGCUAACGCAUUAAGUGCCCCGCCUGGGGAGUACGGCCGCAAGGCUAAAACUCAAAGGAAUUGACGGGGGCCCGCACAAGCGGCGGAGCAUGCGGAUUAAUUCGAUGCAACGCGAAGAACCUUACCAAGGCUUGACAUGGACCGGAUCGCCGCAGAAAUGUGGUUUCUCCUUUGGGGCCGGUUCACAGGUGGUGCAUGGUUGUCGUCAGCUCGUGUCGUGAGAUGUUGGGUUAAGUCCCGCAACGAGCGCAACCCUCGUUCCAUGUUGCCAGCACGUAGUGGUGGG
Molecule: ribosomal RNA, 973 nt
Filed under: uncultured bacterium
Lineage: Bacteria
Description: bacterial SSU rRNA
Rfam family: Bacterial small subunit ribosomal RNA
Source: RNAcentral